GAUGAAGAACGUAGCGAAAUGCGAUACUUGGUGUGAAUUGCAGAAUCCCGUGAACCAUCGAGUCUUUGAACGCAAGUUGCGCCCGAAGCCAUUAGGCCGAGGGCACGCCUGCCUGGGCGUCACACGUCGUUGCCCCCCCAUCUACUCCUUCGGGAUUGCGGGGGGCGGAUGAUGGCCUCCCGUGCGCCUCGCCGCGCGGUUGGCAUAAAUGCCAAGUCCUCGGCGACGCACGCCACGACAAUCGGUGGUUGCGAAACCUCGGUUGCCCGUCGUGUGCGGUCGUCGCGCAUCGAGGGCUCGAAAAAAUUGCCGGGUUCCGGCUCGGCUUUCAACGCGACCCCAGGUCAGGCGGGGUUACCCGCUGAAUUUAAGCAUAUCAAUUAGCGGAGGA
Molecule: unclassified non-coding RNA, 391 nt
Filed under: soil metagenome
Description: partial contains 5.8S ribosomal RNA, internal transcribed spacer 2, and large subunit ribosomal RNA
Rfam family: 5.8S ribosomal RNA (bases 1-122)
Source: RNAcentral